GAUGAACGCUGGCGGCGUGCCUAAUACAUGCAAGUCGAGCGAACAGAUGAGGAGCUUGCUCCUCUGACGUUAGCGGCGGACGGGUGAGUAACACGUGGAUAACCUACCUAUAAGACUGGGAUAACUUCGGGAAACCGGAGCUAAUACCGGAUAAUAUAUUGAACCGCAUGGUUCAAUAGUGAAAGACGGUUUUGCUGUCACUUAUAGAUGGAUCCGCGCCGCAUUAGCUAGUUGGUAAGGUAACGGCUUACCAAGGCAACGAUGCGUAGCCGACCUGAGAGGGUGAUCGGCCACACUGGAACUGAGACACGGUCCAGACUCCUAAGGGAGGCAGCAGUAGGGAAUCUUCCGCAAUGGGCGAAAGCUUGACGGAGCAACGCCGCGUGAGUGAUGAAGGUCUUCGGAUCGUAAAACUCUGUUAUUAGGGAAGAACAAAUGUGUAAGUAACUAUGCACGUCUUGACGGUACCUAAUCAGAAAGCCACGGCUAACUACGUG
RNAcentral lists this ribosomal RNA (497 nucleotides) under uncultured bacterium. Its description in RNAcentral is "partial 16S ribosomal RNA". It matches the Rfam family "Bacterial small subunit ribosomal RNA", at positions 28 to 507 of the family's 1533-position model. The record is from RNAcentral.